Molecule: long non-coding RNA, 577 nt
Organism: Ipomoea triloba (trilobed morning glory)
Lineage: Eukaryota; Viridiplantae; Streptophyta; Magnoliopsida; Solanales; Convolvulaceae
Exons: 2
Source: RefSeq, a predicted model, not a curated record
UUGACAAAAGAAAACGCGGAUUUGAUCCAACGCCAUUCAUUGUCCGAACGCAGUAUUCCAAAACCGACCCGUGAGCCACUUUUUAAACACUAGGAGGACAUCUGCAUUAUAUGGAUAGAGGACUACUUGGGCAGGAGGCUUCAUUGGAGGCAGCACGGGAAUUGCUAAUUGCCAUCUCCAACUCUCAACCAGAAAAAGUUGAAUCAGAUCAGGUCGAAAGUUCAAACAGUUGGGAAUCUCGUACAGUGAUUAAUGGGGACAGAACUGAGAUCUUCAGGUCUCGACUGAUUUCAAUUUCGUAUCCCCAGCCUCCAAAUGAUAGGCGUCUGUGCAACGGCCAUGCAUGAUUGAUAUGGUGGGAGCUAUAAUGUUUGCUAUGGAUGACUGUUCCAUUUCCGUUUCUGUUUUAGAACUUGAACUUUCUUAAAGUUGCUGAGGUGUUGUUCUCAUGCUCUAGUUAUGCUGACCAGAAAGUCGAAAACCAAACUGUAGUAUCGAACUUUGAAUGUGGAUGGAUGCUUGUAACUUUGUCCAUUGUCUCGUCUGUUGGAAUAUAUGAAUCACAUAGUUCUGUUGA